Molecule: long non-coding RNA, 399 nt
Filed under: Cucumis sativus (cucumber)
Lineage: Eukaryota; Viridiplantae; Streptophyta; Magnoliopsida; Cucurbitales; Cucurbitaceae
Description: long non-coding RNA (CSAT_LNC001273)
Source: RNAcentral
CCUGCUAUCAUACGCUGACAAUCCUCUAACGUGCACCCAUCGUCUCCCAUAGCUGCGAACACACUAAAAAGCUCCUCCGCCGUAAUUCUCCCGUCGUGGUCCGCGUCGAAUAUCUCAAACGUAUCACGUAACUCGGAGUGGCAAGUCGGUCCAACCCGGUCCAUUUCGCCCAUCAUGAUCUUAAUCUCUUCCUCACUCGGCGGUUCGGCUCCGAUUAGGCCGAGUAGAGCCUUUAGUUCUUUACGAGAGAGAGUGGGGUCGGAGAAAUCGGACCAGUCGAGGGAGGGUAGAACGCUGGUGGGGGUUCCUGCCGCGGAGGAGGAGGAGGAGGAGGAGGCGGAGCCGAAAGAAGGAGGUUGAGAUCGGGAGAGUUUGGAGCGGUGGGAUUUGGAAGAGAAG